UCCUACGGGAGGCAGCAGUGGGGAAUUUUGGACAAUGGGGGCAACCCUGAUCCAGCCAUGCCGCGUGAGUGAAGAAGGCCUUCGGGUUGUAAAGCUCUUUCGGCCGGGAAGAAAUCGCAUAGGCAUAAUACCUGUGUGAGGAUGACGGUACCGGAAUAAG
Molecule: ribosomal RNA, 160 nt
Filed under: uncultured bacterium
Lineage: Bacteria
Description: partial 16S ribosomal RNA
Rfam family: Bacterial small subunit ribosomal RNA
Source: RNAcentral